CUUUCCUCCUUCCCUCUUGUCUCCCCUCCUCCUUUCUUCUGAAUGCAAACUAAAACUCUCCAGUGACAGGCAGGCUUGCAGGCUUGGCCUAGCUGCGCACGCAGACACACACACACACACACACACACACACACACACACACACACACACACUCACGCGCACUCACACUCACACUCGCUUACUCGCACGCCAGCAGCUCGGCUAGUUGCUACUGCACUGGUGGAGUUAAGAGACAGGAAAAGGCUCAGGCUGAGUUGGGGGCAGGGAGAGAAAGAGGGAGAGUAAGAUCCGAAGGAGCAGUGUCCUAGCAAAAUGGCAGUAGAGAGGUGAGCCCUUUGGAAAGCCAGCAGUGGCCACACACACGUGUGCACACAUACAGACUCAGAGGCAAUCUGAGCUCAGAAUGAGUGGAAUAAAUGACCCAGAAGGGAAAAAAGCCAAGGAUCUAGUCGUCGUUCACCAUGUUACAGAGCAUAAAUCCAAGCCACUGAUUUAAAAAAAGAAAAAGAAAGAAAGAAACGUGGACAUUUGGGAGUCAACCUAACUGGAAAAAAAUGGAAGUCCAGACACUGAACCAUGAAGACGAGGAGUGCAUGAGAUGGCAGAGGAAGGCACAAACUGUGAGCAGGGGACCCACAGAGGACGCAAGAAUCUUGAAGCUUUGUAGACAGCACGGACCCAGGACAGCUGGUGGAGAGUGGGAAGGGGAUUACAACAACUCGGAGCUCUUGCAAGCCUUGCUGUCUCACAGAGCUAGGCCUCCAUGGCUGUCCUGGUGAACCACGGCUCAGCCUGAGCUCUGUUUUUGCGUGAAGGUCACUUGGACCCCUUCUCCAGAAUCUUCUUCUCCAAGGUGGAAGUUGUGUGGACACAAAUGACUACUCUCCUGACAGGCACACAAAUGGUCCCUGACACCCAAUAAAGACAGUGACAGCAAGGAAGAGGAGGAGGAAGAAGAGGGGAAGGAAGAAG
This 972-nucleotide small RNA is filed under the name Rattus norvegicus (Norway rat). Its description in RNAcentral is "uncharacterized LOC102549654". Lineage: Eukaryota; Metazoa; Chordata; Mammalia; Rodentia; Muridae. The record is from RNAcentral.